UAGGGAAUCUUCCGCAAUGGGCGAAAGCCUGACGGAGCAACGCCGCGUGAGUGAUGAAGGUCUUCGGAUCGUAAAACUCUGUUAUUAGGGACGAACAAUUGUGUAAGUAACUAUGCACGUCUUGACGGUACCUAAUCAGAAAGCCACGGCUAACUACGUGCCAGCAGCCGCGGUAAUACGUAGGUGGCAAGCGUUAUCCGGAAUUAUUGGGCGUAAAGCGCGCGUAGGCGGUUUUUUAAGUCUGAUGUGAAAGCCCACGGCUCAACCGUGGAGGGUCAUUGGAAACUGGAAAACUUGAGUGCAGAAGAGGAAAUUGGAAUUCCAUGUGUAGCAGUGAAAUGCGCAGAGAUAUGGAGGAACACCAGUGGCGAAGGCGACUUUCUGGUCUGUAACUGACGCUGAGGUGCGAAAGCGUGGGGAGCAAACAGG
RNAcentral lists this ribosomal RNA (429 nucleotides) under Actinomycetes bacterium. Its description in RNAcentral is "Actinobacteria bacterium partial 16S ribosomal RNA". It matches the Rfam family "Bacterial small subunit ribosomal RNA", at positions 355 to 776 of the family's 1533-position model. Lineage: Bacteria; Bacillati; Actinomycetota; Actinomycetes. The record is from RNAcentral.